AUAUCUUAUCCGGUAUAUUCUUCUCUGGCUCUUCCACUAAAGGACCUGCAACAAAUCAAAUGCAGUGCUGAAAGUUUGUUUCCAUAAUACGGAGUUGACUUCUGCUUUCUGGGAUAGAAAGUAUGCAGACCUGCAAAUAGUGACCUUCAAUUGUUGUGCAUUGCAUUUGAGGCUCUCAUUUGGUAUUUGAGAUUAUGCGCCAUGAAAAUUUCAAGUGGUCUACUACCGGCUUCAGGAAGAGGUGGAAUGUCUUUGCAGCAUUUUCCACAUGCUUCACUUAAAUUUGGGAUUGUCAAAGCAACAUAGAGGAUGAUAGUACAUUGUUCAUAGACUUGAUUUUGGUGUAUGAUGGGGAGACCAAUUCCUGUCUCUUUGGAACCAUUAGAGGCCAAUAACAACCACAAUUCCAAUUCCAUGCCAGGCAGGCGUUUUCACACAUAAGGAGUGCUCUACACAUAAACUCGUUUAAUCAGAAUUGAAAACCAACUGCUUGCGUGAUUGAAGUCGGAUGUGGAUUUUAACUUAAAGAUUCUUGCUCCUUCUUUCAUGUAGUAGUUUACUUCCUAAAAUUUCAUUUCCCUUUCCUGUUUUAAUUGUGAAUUUCUUGUAAACUUUUGACUAAAUCGUCUCCCAAGGUACUUGACAUA
Theobroma cacao (cacao) is the source of this 647-nucleotide non-coding RNA. The record is from RefSeq and is a predicted model, not a curated record. Lineage: Eukaryota; Viridiplantae; Streptophyta; Magnoliopsida; Malvales; Malvaceae.